AAAUUGGGAAACUCAUCAAAAUAUAAAGAAAUGCCGAGACAAGCUUACCCGUUAAUGGCGGGCCCCACGUCGCAAGGCGUUGACCUCAGGGUCGCAGGCGGAUUACAAAAAUUGGUAGGCCCUCAAAUCCUGUCGUUCGGAGUUUCGUCACAUUC
RNAcentral lists this small RNA (155 nucleotides) under pig gut metagenome. RNAcentral's name for it is "Bacteroidales-1 6S-Bacteroidales RNA suggested". It matches the Rfam family "Bacteroidales-1 6S-Bacteroidales RNA suggested", at positions 16 to 162 of the family's 179-position model. The record is from RNAcentral.